GUGCCUCCCUCGGAGCCCAGCCAGGCGGUGGAGGAAACGAAGAGGCACUCCAGGGAGGGGCAAGGCCAAGAGGCCAGGGCGGAGCGGGAAGGGCGGGUGGUGAGCGCAGCUGCCCUGCGGCAUGGACGGCCCCUCGCGCUGCUGCUGCUGGCCCAGGACACAGACAGGUUCCUGAGGAGGAAUGAAACACAGGGAGGCGAAGAGAAUUGCCGAUUCCCGGGGGCCUGUGUCUGCCAGCGGCUGCUAAGUACCUCUGAGAAACUCUGCUUUGAGCUAAUAGGAACCGCCUGUUCUGGGAACAUCAGUACAUGAAACAGAAACCUCUGGGUGGACCCCUGGGCAAGAUGAAUUUGACCAACCAUGCGUUCCAGGGCUCCAGCGAGAACAUCACCACCUCAACGCCAGGCCCCACACUACACAGCAGCCUGGACACAGCGGCCACAGCUGUUUUGGGCUCCAUUGGUGUCGUGGCCCUCAUCUUGCUCCUGGUGGGACUCUUGUCCGUGACUCUGAAAAAAUGGAGGCAUGAGAGACUAUUUAAGAAACAACAGAAGCAUCAGACCAACUUUCUCCACAAACCCUUGGAGCUUUCCUGCCAUGCCGAUGCCAUAUAUUCCAACGUGAUCAACCUGGCCCCCAGGAAAGAGGAUGACUUCGCUGUCUAUGCCAACGUGCCCCCUUUCAACUGCCCCAGGAGGACAUCACCAGACCACGUGGAAUACGCCUCCAUUGUAUUUCACUGA
RNAcentral lists this long non-coding RNA (743 nucleotides) under Capra hircus (goat). RNAcentral's name for it is "lncRNA (ENSCHIG00000000803.1)". The record is from RNAcentral. Lineage: Eukaryota; Metazoa; Chordata; Mammalia; Artiodactyla; Bovidae.